AGGCUCUGGAAUUCUUUGAUUCUAAAAGCUCCUGUGUUCUUAUACUUUUGAGAUCCCUGUUUAGACUGUGGACAUCUACUUGAGUUUACCCAUCCACUUCCUUCCCGGGAGCUCAGUGCUCCCCUGCACAUCAUGGAACUGGUUUUCAUUAUUUCUUUGCUUCAGAGCCUUGUUAAUUUUGUGUGCCACACCUGCUUCAAGAGGCAGGAGAAGCUCCAUCGCUGUGGGCAGUGCAAGUUUGCCCAUUACUGCGACCGCACCUGCCAGAAGGAUGCUUGGCUGAACCACAAGAAUGAAUGUUCGGCCAUCAAGAGAUAUGGGAAAGUGCCCAAUGAGAACAUCAGGCUGGCGGCGCGCAUCAUGUGGCGGGUGGAGAGAGAAGGCACCGGGCUCACGGAGGGCUGCCUGGUGUCCGUGGACGACUUGCAGAACCACGUGGAGCACUUCGGGGAGGAGGAGCAGAAGGAGCUGCGGGUGGACGUGGACACGUUCUUGCAGUACUGGCUGCCCCAGAGCCAGCAGUUCAGCAUGCAGUACAUCUCACACAUCUUCGGAGUGAUUAACUGCAACGG
RNAcentral lists this small RNA (572 nucleotides) under Pongo abelii (Sumatran orangutan). Its description in RNAcentral is "processed transcript". Lineage: Eukaryota; Metazoa; Chordata; Mammalia; Primates; Hominidae. The record is from RNAcentral.